Molecule: transfer RNA, 64 nt
Filed under: Bambusiphaga taibaishana
Lineage: Eukaryota; Metazoa; Arthropoda; Insecta; Hemiptera; Delphacidae
Description: tRNA-Asn
Source: RNAcentral
UUAAUUGAAGCUAAAAAGAAGCAUUUUACUGUUAAUAAAAAAAAUGAAUUAAAUUCCAAUUAAA